This 65-nucleotide transfer RNA is filed under the name Orthogonalys pulchella. RNAcentral's name for it is "tRNA-Pro". Lineage: Eukaryota; Metazoa; Arthropoda; Insecta; Hymenoptera; Trigonalidae. The record is from RNAcentral.
AAAAAAUAGUUUAAAUUAAAAUAAUAAUUUUGGAGAUUAUUGAUAUAAAAUUUUAUUUUUUUGAA